This 590-nucleotide long non-coding RNA is filed under the name Mus musculus (house mouse). RNAcentral describes it as "long non-coding RNA chr2:8580782-8581372". The record is from RNAcentral. Lineage: Eukaryota; Metazoa; Chordata; Mammalia; Rodentia; Muridae.
GAAAGAAAUUAAAGACGUUUUAGAGUUUAAUGAAAAUGAAGCCACAAUAUACCCAAACUUAUGGGACACAAGGAGGGCAGUCCUAAGAGGAAAACUCAAUUCCCUGAGUGCCCCCCAAAAGAAACUAGAGAGAGCUUAUAUUAGCAGCCUGAUAGCACACCUAGAGGCUCGAGAACUGAAUUUACCCAAGAAGAGUAGACAGCAGGAAAUAAUCAAACUCAGGGCUCAAAUUGACCAAGUGGAAACAAAAAGAACUAUUCAAAGAACCACCCAACCCAGGAGCUGGUUCUUUGAGAAAAUCAACAAGAUAGCUAAACCCUUAUCCAAACUAAAUAGAGCACAAAGGGACAGUAUUCUAAUUAACAAAAUCAGAAAUGAAAAAGGAGACAUAACAACAGAACCUGAGGAUCCAAAACAUCAUCAGAUCCUACUACAAAAGGCUAUACUCAACAAAACUAGAAAACCUGGAUGAAAUGGACAACUUCCUAGACAGAUACGAGGUACCAACGUUAAAUCAGGAUCAGAUUAACAAUUUAAUCAGUCCCAUUUCCCCUAAAGAAAGAGAAGCAGUCAUCAAUAGUCUCUCAACC